RNAcentral lists this unclassified non-coding RNA (306 nucleotides) under plant metagenome. Its description in RNAcentral is "partial contains 5.8S ribosomal RNA, internal transcribed spacer 2, and large subunit ribosomal RNA". The stretch from base 1 to 105 matches the Rfam family "5.8S ribosomal RNA", at positions 50 to 154 of the family's 154-position model. The record is from RNAcentral.
GAAAUGCGAUAAGUAGUAUGAAUUAUAGAAUUUAGUAAAUUAUUAAAUCUUUGAACGCAUAUUGCGCCCCUUAGUAUUUUGUGGGGUAUGCCUAUUUGAGUGUUAUUUACACCCUUAAGCUCUGUUUGGUGUUAGGCGUCUAUUCUACCUUCGCGCGUAGAUUUGCCCUAAAUGUAUUGGUAGUGGUUUUUGUUCCCUCCUACGUAGUAUAUUGUGCUUUUUGAGGCUGUGGUGGCCUAUGUUUAAUAAGCUGAACCCCCCCAUCUUUAACUUUGGAUUAGGUAGGGAUACUCGCUGAACUUAAGU